Molecule: long non-coding RNA, 376 nt
Organism: Bactrocera dorsalis (oriental fruit fly)
Lineage: Eukaryota; Metazoa; Arthropoda; Insecta; Diptera; Tephritidae
Exons: 2
Source: RefSeq, a predicted model, not a curated record
UAUCAUGCAUUUCGAUUACGUUCCCGCUCUACGCUCCGCCGGAGUCGAAAUUAGGUAUCAUGCGUUGCAAUUGGAUUGAAAGAAGAAGAGGGAGAGCUAUAACUCUUUCGAAAUCAGCUGUUUGCUUUGAAAUAUGUGAAACUGGAACAUAAAGCAAAAAUACAAAAUUACUGCUGUUCAAAGAAAAUAAAUAAAAGUAUGGAGUCUUUAUCCGUGGCGAUAUUACUGGUUGAGGAGGAGAGCAGCGCACCUCAGAAUGCUGGGGUGAGAAUUGAGAGGAGAAGAUUACGAGAUAUGUGCGAUCCGUCCAGAUGAAUGACGAGCUAUUCAAAAAAACUUUCGUCUGAAUAAGGACGCAUUCAAGUAUGUCCUAGAU